CAACAUCACUUUCAACAAUGUAUUUAUUUAGUCUCCACCUAGAGUGGCCUCUUUCCUCUGCGGCGGUGCUGUAUUGCACUCAGCGAUGUUUUCUCUCGGUAGCUGUCCAUGUUCCAGAAAUCAAAUCAUCCGAGUUUGCUUGAACAUCAGCCUGAUGUCCAGCUUCUUCCACCUCUGGAAACUAUCUAGGUGGUCAUGCGACUUCUCAUUCGAGCUGAGGUGGCACAGAUUCUUCCAGUCCCUGGUUCCAUCCCUGACCAGCGCAGAUUUGCAUUCGUGUGAAAAAACAGAAGGCUGCAUCGUUUUGCUUGGAAUAGACAAGCCUUUGUCUCUCCACUUUCUCCCCGUUCGCCAUCGGGCCACCGAAAACUUUCGUUGCCCCUCAUCUCUUGGGAAAUUCCCCUCCUUAUCCUGAUGUGGCCCAGCCUGCACUAACAUAUCCCCUUCUAUUUUGCAUCAUUCCAGGAAUCCCUCAAGAAGAAAUCACAGCACCCCCACCCCCAAACAUCUUCCCAUGGCUAUGCCACUAUGCACCUCCAUAAGCUGUCCAAACAAGAGAGGCAGAGCGAGAGAGGCAAGGCGAGCAGGGAUAUGAAGUGCCAUCAUCAGUCCAGGAGAAUGUGAACAACACGAUAACAGACGGGCAUCAGAGGGGAAGCAACAAGAUGACAAGAAUUCAAGUGACAUGGCACAUGAUGUCUGAUGUGGCCUGAUUGUUUCAGUCAGGCUAGAGCCUGGGACAGUCCAGUGACUGACACAGUGCAUUCUUAGAAAAAAAGGUGUUUUCUAGAACCAAAGGGUUCUUUGGCUGUCCCCAUAGCAGAACCCUUUGAAGAAUCCCUUUUGGGUUCCAUGUAGAACACUUUUAAAUGGAACCCAAAAUGGUUCUACCUGCAACCAAAAAAGGUUCACCUAUGGGGACAGCCAAAGAACCCUUUUGGAACAUUUUGAUAGCUAUUGAGAUUUUAGACAGCUUUCAUCCCUCCAAGUAUUUACAGCCCUGUUGCCCCCUCCUGUGCUGAGAGAGUGGGAGUGCAGAUAGAUACCACAUCUCCCUG
Oncorhynchus tshawytscha (Chinook salmon) is the source of this 1058-nucleotide long non-coding RNA. The record is from Ensembl. Lineage: Eukaryota; Metazoa; Chordata; Actinopteri; Salmoniformes; Salmonidae.